Molecule: transfer RNA, 72 nt
Filed under: Solirubrobacterales bacterium 67-14
Lineage: Bacteria; Bacillati; Actinomycetota; Thermoleophilia; Solirubrobacterales
Also listed under: 11 other names
Description: tRNA-Val
Rfam family: tRNA
About the family: Transfer RNA (tRNA) molecules are approximately 80 nucleotides in length. Their secondary structure includes four short double-helical elements and three loops (D, anti-codon, and T loops).
Source: RNAcentral
GGGCGCGUAGCUCAGCGGGAGAGCGCUCGCUUCACACGCGAGAGGUCGCUGGUUCGAAACCAGCCGUGCCCA